UCAGAAAGAAAGAAAUGAAAGUGAAGAAGGAGGCUAUGAGCCCCACAAAUUAAAACAUUUUAUUUUGUCACUUUCAGUUUUAGGUUACCAAUGCUGUGAUUUAAGUUCCAUCAGGACCUCAACUCUCUUUGUGAGUGUCUACUGAGUACUUCAAGGAAAGUGUCUGAACCCCAUGAUUUAAUGAUAGAAAGGAACAUCUUCAAGAGGUCUGCCUGCCUGUAAGGAAGGUGCUUUCUUAGCUCCUCUUUGCCAUGUGCUUAGUUGGGAAGGUUCUCUGUCUGGAGUGGAGGCUCUGAAGCAGUGACUAGGCAGGGUCCUUCAGAUCAUCUUGGAGUUGGCCACUCAAGUCACCUAGAGGAAAGGGCCUUGUGCCAGUGUCCAGUGUGGACAGCUCUCCUAACUGCUUGGCAUUCAGAGAAGCUUUCCUUGCUACAGUGCUAAGUGAUUGACAGGCAGUCCCCAAAUGGCAAUCACCACAAGAGAAGAAGAGAUAAAAUGCUCCGUGGGAUAUGAUCUGGGAGAUACCACCUCCAGCAUGGAGACCGUGAACAUUUUCACAGAGGAGGUGCCCCUUGAAUUUGGUCCUAAAUAUUCACCAGAGUUGGAAUCUGUAGAGAACAAGAUGAGGUGGAACACCUCGGACACAGAGAACGCAGGACAUGUUUGAGAGAAGGCCAGAGAUUCUGCCAUAUAAAGUACAAGAAGAAAACGUAUCCUGUAAAUGCAAUUAUGAGCAUGGGCUCCGGAGUUAGAUGUCCUGGGUUUGAAUUCCAGCUUAACUGUUAACUAGCUCUGUGACCUUGGCUGGGCCACUUAAUUUCCAUGAGCCCCGUGUUUUUCAUCUAUCA
Long non-coding RNA from Manis pentadactyla (Chinese pangolin), 848 nucleotides. RefSeq lists it as uncharacterized. NCBI's taxonomy places the organism in Eukaryota, Metazoa, Chordata, Mammalia, Pholidota, Manidae. The record is from RefSeq and is a predicted model, not a curated record. The transcript has 4 exons.